Molecule: long non-coding RNA, 2854 nt
Organism: Paramisgurnus dabryanus
Lineage: Eukaryota; Metazoa; Chordata; Actinopteri; Cypriniformes; Cobitidae
Source: RefSeq, a predicted model, not a curated record
CCUUCAUCACACUUAAGAGAGCUGAACCUGGGCUACAAUAAUCCAGAAGUCUCAGGAGUGAAGCAGAUCUCUGAUCUACUGAAAGAUCCACACUGCACACUGGAGACACUCAAUUUAUCUGAGUGUGGGGUGACAGCUGCAGGUUUUUGUGAUCUGGCUUCAGCUCUUAGAUCAAAUCCUUCAUCACACUUAAGAGAGCUGAACCUGGGCUACAAUAAUCCAGAAGUCUCAGGAGUGAAGCAGAUCUCUGAUCUACUGAAAGAUCCACACUGCACACUGGAGACACUCAAUGUAUCUUACUGUGAGCUGACAGAGCUGGAGCCAGAUCACAAAACUCUUCAUCACACUUAAGAGAGCUGAACCUGAGCUGGAAUAAUCCAGUCGUCUCAGGAGUGAAGCAGAUCUCUGAUCUACUGAAAGAUCCACAAUGUACACUGGGGACACCCAAGAAUGCACCCGAGAAAACAGCUGCAGGUUUUCGUCAUAGAUAUGUACACUACAGGAACGACAAAUAGAGCUGCCAUCUUGAAACAGGGGAAUCCCGCAUCAGCGUCAUUGUAGGCAAUGGUGUAACGGAAAUAAAAUCACCAUAAAUCGUCAUGAAUGCGAUUUUUUUUUGGUUUUCUUUUGGUUCGUUUCAACAGCCAGACAUGUAUUUAGCAUUGAGUCCAGAAAAACAUUAAAGUUUUAAAAUGUUGAAAAUCUACUAUUUCUAACCAUAAACCGGAAGUAUCACCCAAGGGCAAGCAUCUGUAUGUCCGUAUAUGUUUUAAAGAACGUUCUGAAUCUGAUCUCUAUCAAAAGUCCUUCACAAAAAUGCAAUCAUCUCAGCUUUUUGCUCGAAAUGUGGUGUUUUUUAAGAAACAUACCCAUAUUUGAGAGAUGAUAAAAGGAGAACAAAUGAAGGUAGGAUGAAACGUUUUUUUGAAAGCAGAGGGUCUGUUUUUUUCAUUUGAUAUAUUGUAUGUUUAUAUAUUUAAAGAAGAACAUUUUCUGAAAGGCAUUAAACUUUAGUGAAAAUCAUAAAAAAAUGCUGGUGUUGGCUGUCAACAUUUAUAAAAACACUGAUGUGGAAAGAUUUAAUACUCGAAAGUUUAUAUAAACAGCCAUCUGCUUUUCUCCUGUGACAUUUAAACCUCAUUCACACAGACAUUUGGUCCCAGAAAAUACCCAUAAAUUUGAAGACAAGCUUCUGUGUGAACAUAAAUGUUCAGGGAUUGUUCCCGGAAAGAGGACCUAGUAACAUGCCGUAAGAUACCCAUAAAGCCCUCAGUGUGAACAAGUUGCAGAAACAAUGCGGUAAGGGGCGUGUCGUAGUCAGGACGCGUGUGUCAUGGCAACAUGAAGUUAUGGUUCAGCUCUUUAAAACUAGAGGUUUACAUGCACAUUAACAAUCACGAUGAGAAAUGUCUGCAAACUGGACUGAAGGGAGCUUGUCAAAUAUCCAAAGCUGAGAUCAUUCACCAGCACACUAGAAUGGCAUGCCACAUGCUUCUUUAUAGUCUUAUCAUAAACAAAAGUGCAUGCGAGUGGUUUCUGGAGAGAGAAUUGAAGGGAUAGGGCGUUUUCACAUCUGUAAUUCAGUUCAUUUGGUCCAGACCAAAAGCAAAAAAUUAUACAUUGUAACUUUUUUAGCAGAUUUGGUUCCAUUUCACACCACACUGAUUGCUCUGAUCCGCACCAAUUGAAACGAACCAAAAUUCUGUCAUGUGAUAAGAUCAACAUCACUCAUUGGCCACAUGUAUUUGAACGUAUUUCCUAAACGGCUUCACAAUUGGUCAGAAUCAACGUGUGGUAAAUUCCAACGGAACCCCCGGAAGUAAACAAAAAAAGGAUAAUACAGCAGACACCAUGGACAGACGGCUGCGCGCUGUAAUUAUGUCUCCGUGGUUGUUAUACAUAGUUUGUAUACAGCACUCUAGACAAACUGUUCAUUUUCAGAUUGAAUCGCGGAUGCGGCUUGAAAACAACGGUUUAAUGCACUACAAACGGCGAAGACAAAAAAUUUCUGCGAUUUGUCAAUGUGCUAAUAUUGCUAAUAGAAACGGUCAACAAACACUUCCUCAUCCGAUAAUGCACUGCGCAGUUGACUACGGCAGCUGGUUUAGUCCAAAAUGCGCAGUACUUUUGCAGUUAGGUCGGUUCGAUCUCGGAUUGUGUUCUCACCACAAACGAACCGCUCUAGAGUUCGUUUGAAAGCGUACCGAGACCACCCCUGCAAGCUGGUCUCCGUCCGCUUGUUUGGUCCGCUUUUGGUGCGCACCAGAGUUCGAUUGCUGCAUUCUCACCUGCCCAAACGAACUGCACCAACUGAGCAAUCGAACUCUGGUACGAUUCAAUCGGACUAAACAAGGCAGGUGUGAAAACCCCCCAUAGUUCACCCUAAAAUGAAAAUUCUGUCAUCAAACUACCAAGUGCAGGACUUUACAUCACGUGUCUUUCUGUGAACGCACACACAGAUUCCGGCAAAUCACUGUCAGUGUGAAUGAGCUAAAAAUCAAACGAUUCCUGACAAAUCCCACAUGCAUUUCCUGUGUAUUUUCCUUAAUGUCUGUGUGAAAAAGGCUUAAGUCAGUGUUUCUCCUCUUUUAUUCUAACUCAACUCAUUUUAUUGUAUUCAGUUUAGUGCGGAGUCUUGAGACCAAACUCCUCAGCAAACCAAAUGCUUUUUUAAACAUGAUUUAUUUCAUAGUUUGGUUGUUAGAUUUCAUGAAAUGGUGUCUUUUGUGUAAAAGUAGAUUUGUUUCACUUGGUGUCACUACAAACAUCACAAAUUAUAAAUAUUUUUGAUAAAAACAAGAUGUCUUCAUAUGUCUACAAUUAAUCUGUUUUGUUUCCAUUAAAAAUAAACAUA